This 30-nucleotide non-coding RNA is filed under the name Mus musculus (house mouse). Lineage: Eukaryota; Metazoa; Chordata; Mammalia; Rodentia; Muridae. The record is from RNAcentral.
UAAAGGAUAAUGCAAAGAACGAUUGAGCAA